UCAAACGCAACGACCGGGACGAGUAAGCGGCUCCCGUUUCUGACAGAGAGUCCAGGCUGAAAGUUGAGAGCCUCGACCAGAAACCUCCGCUGAAAACCACCCGCGAGCGAGAAGCAGAACAGUGAUCAGUGAUCAGUUAGUAUGCGGAACGGAUUGCCUCGUUAUCGGCUGAAGAGUGGUAAGUCGAAAUUAAUUUCGACUUACAAUUCGGGUGGUACCGCGUGAGUCAAACUCUCGCCCCGUGU
Molecule: non-coding RNA, 245 nt
Filed under: Chloroflexota bacterium
Lineage: Bacteria; Bacillati; Chloroflexota
Description: Chloroflexi bacterium T-box sequence
Rfam family: T-box leader
About the family: Uncharged tRNA acts as the effector for transcription antitermination of genes in the T-box leader family. T-boxes are found upstream of many aminoacyl-tRNA synthetase genes and some amino acid biosynthetic genes usually in Gram-positive bacteria.
Source: RNAcentral